Molecule: ribosomal RNA, 292 nt
Filed under: uncultured bacterium
Lineage: Bacteria
Description: partial 16S ribosomal RNA
Rfam family: Archaeal small subunit ribosomal RNA
Source: RNAcentral
GUGCCAGCCGCCGCGGUAAUACCGGCAGCUCGAGUGAUGUCCAAUAUUAUUGGGCCUAAAGCGUCCGUAGCUGGCCGCGCAAGUCCGUCGGGAAAUCCACCUGCCCAACAGGUGGGCGUCCGGCGGAAACUGUUCGGCUUGGGGCCGGAGGACCCGAGGGGUACGUCCGGGGUAGGAGUGAAAUCCUGUAAUCCUGGACGGACCGCCGGUGGCGAAAGCGCCUCGGGAAGACGGACCCGACAGUGAGGGACGAAAGCCAGGGUCUCCAACCGGAUUAGAAACCCGGUAGUCC